AAUAGAUACCCUGGUAGUCCAUGCCGUAAACGUUGGGCACUAGGUGUGGGGCUCGUCCCACGAGUUCCGUGCCGCAGCAAACGCAUUAAGUGCCCCGCCUGGGGAGUACGGCCGCAAGGCUAAAACUCAAAGGAAUUGACGGGGGCCCGCACAAGCGGCGGAGCAUGCUGAUUAAUUCGAUGCAACGCGAAGAACCUUACCAAGGCUUGACAUAUACCGAAAACUCAUGGAGACAUGGGGUCCGCAAGGGCGGUAUACAGGUGGUGCAUGGUUGUCGUCAGCUCGUGUCGUGAGAUGUUGGGUUAAGUCCCGCAACGAGCGCAACCCUCGUCCUAUGUUGCCAGCGCGUUAUGGCGGGGACUCAUAGGAGACUGCCGGGGUCAACUCGGAGGAAGGUGGGGAUGAGGUCAAAUCAUCAUGCCCCUUAUGUCUUGGGCUUCAAGCAUGCUACAAUGGCCGGUACAAAGGGCUGCGAUACCGCAAGGUGGAGCGAAUCCCAAAAAGCCGGUCUCAGUUCGGAUUGGGGU
Molecule: ribosomal RNA, 527 nt
Filed under: uncultured bacterium
Lineage: Bacteria
Description: bacterial SSU rRNA
Rfam family: Bacterial small subunit ribosomal RNA
Source: RNAcentral